CACACUGAGUGUCUGUGGGUGUCGAUGUGCGACCAGGAGAGGAGAAGAAAAGGGGUCAAACCCUAGAUCACAAAAUCCAUCAAAUUGAAAGGGGAUUUAAGGGCUAAAUGAAUGCAUGAACCAAGAAAGUCGAUCACCUAAGUGUUUCUAACAUCAAUAUAGGGAUCAUGUCAAGAUGGAUGGAAGCAUAAAGGGCUAACGGGUCAUGAGGACAUGAAGAAACGAGAGCGAAUAUGGAUGCGUAAGGUAUGAAAUCGUCGGGUUCAUGAGGAAUUGAAGCCGGACUUGGAUUAAGAGUAUUUAAGAGAAUGCUUGGAUAAUUCCAUGUUUACAUUAUGGAAUGCUAUGCGAAUUUCAAUUAUAUAGUGUAAUGUUGUAUGGUGAGAUAAUGACUAAUGGUUAAGUUGUAUAUGAUGUCCACAGGUAUCACAUGAAUUUCCUCUACCACUAACGAAGAUAAGCGGGCGUAGAUCGAGUCAAAGAACAAGGAUUGUACGGAAGAAUAGUCAUACAGUUUGAAUUAUGUAUUGCCUUGAAGUAUUAAUUUAAGUAUGAAUGUUGUGAAUUCCUUUUAUAAAACGUAUGACAUUUUGUAAUUUAGCCCUCACGUAAGUAAUGUCGUUAAUAAAGAAAGAAAUUUUUAAGCUCAUAUUUCCGUUGCGUCGUUUUUAAGAUAUUACAUGUUAGGGUGUUACAAGUUGGUAUUAGAGCCCUGGUUUGAGA
Helianthus annuus (common sunflower) is the source of this 723-nucleotide long non-coding RNA. RefSeq lists it as uncharacterized. The record is from RefSeq and is a predicted model, not a curated record. Lineage: Eukaryota; Viridiplantae; Streptophyta; Magnoliopsida; Asterales; Asteraceae. The transcript has 3 exons.